RNAcentral lists this ribosomal RNA (472 nucleotides) under uncultured bacterium. RNAcentral describes it as "bacterial SSU rRNA". It matches the Rfam family "Bacterial small subunit ribosomal RNA", at positions 915 to 1391 of the family's 1533-position model. The record is from RNAcentral.
GGGGGCCCGCAAGCGGUGGAGCAUGUGGUUCAAUUCGACGCAACGCGAAGAACCUUACCUGGGCUCGAAAUGUAGUGGACCGGGGUGGAAACAUCCCUUUUCGCAAGAACCGCUAUAUAGGUGCUGCAUGGCUGUCGUCAGCUCGUGUCGUGAGAUGUUGGGUUAAGUCCCGCAACGAGCGCAACCCUUAUUGUCAGUUGCCAUCAUUCAGUUGGGCACUCUGGCGAAACCGCCUCGGAUAACGGGGAGGAAGGUGGGGAUGACGUCAGGUCCUCAUGGCCUUUAUGUCCAGGGCUACACACGUGCUACAAUGGUCGGUACAAACCGUCGCAAACCCGCGAGGGGGAGCUAAUCGGAAAAAGCCGACCUCAGUUCGGAUUGGAGUCUGCAACUCGACUCCAUGAAGCUGGAAUCGCUAGUAAUCGCGGAUCAGAACGCCGCGGUGAAUACGUUCCCGGGCCUUGUACACACC